GGGCGCUUAGCUCAGUUGGUAGAGCGUCUGCCUUACAAGCAGAAUGUCGGCGGUUCGAUCCCGUCAGCGCCCA
This is a transfer RNA of Acinetobacter larvae, 73 nucleotides long. It matches the Rfam family "tRNA". Rfam says of the family: Transfer RNA (tRNA) molecules are approximately 80 nucleotides in length. The record is from Rfam. Lineage: Bacteria; Pseudomonadati; Pseudomonadota; Gammaproteobacteria; Moraxellales; Moraxellaceae.